Molecule: small nucleolar RNA, 109 nt
Organism: Arachis stenosperma
Lineage: Eukaryota; Viridiplantae; Streptophyta; Magnoliopsida; Fabales; Fabaceae
Source: RefSeq, a predicted model, not a curated record
AAGCAUGUCAAAAGGACAUUUUCUGAUUAAUUGUUUGUAUCUUUCCCAAGCUUCAUAGAGGGAUUCUUCAUCCUUUUGUCUAAAGGUUUGGACUUUCCACUCUAAGCUU